This is a long non-coding RNA of Mytilus californianus (California mussel), 695 nucleotides long. RefSeq lists it as uncharacterized. The record is from RefSeq and is a predicted model, not a curated record. The transcript is spliced from 3 exons. Lineage: Eukaryota; Metazoa; Mollusca; Bivalvia; Mytilida; Mytilidae.
GGUCUAGUUUUAAAAGAUCAAACCAAGCCAAUUUUGCCAGAUCAAAAUAUUAAAGGCAAUUUUGACAGAUACAUUGUAUUAUAACUUCAUUUUAUUAAACAUUAUUUAUUUUAGUUUUUUCAAUGAAAGUACAAUUACUUUGAGAAGAAGGAGAAGCUAAGCAACAGAACAGAAUUCAUUUGAGGCAUUGCUUUCUAGAUUAUAUAGUGGAGUCAUAGAUCGUCCUAUUGAUUUAUGUGCAUAUGAGGAGCAGUAGUCAAUGAAUAAUUUUGUGAUGAGAGAAUUAGCUCCUCAGAUGUAAGUGGAAGGGAAGCUAUAUACAUUAUAUGUUUAAAUGAAAUUAACAACAGGAUUAAAUAUUGAGGAGAUCCUAUAGCUACAGUAUAUAUAAAUGUAACUGCAACUAUAUUCCAAGAGUCUGAUGGCUGAUAAUGUAUUACAGGAUUUUAUCAUUCAAGCAACAUCUUAGAAGUUAGAAGGAUAUGUGCAAAUGUAUGAAGGAAGCCUUGGGUACAAAUAGCAAUUACAGCAAUUACAUGCAGGAGAGAACUCUUAAACAUUACUAACAGACAUGUAGUCAUUAUAUGAGAGUGGUGUAUUCAAGAAAUCUAAAACACAUGGAAUUAAAUAUCGUGUAUAUUUUUUCAACCACAAGUACUCUCAGAAUAUAAUACAAUUCAAAUUCAAGUUAUUGU